GUAAGUGAACAUGCGGUUAUACGUAAAGCAAAAGAAGCAAAAGAAGCAAAAGAGCUAAAGACAAUGAAAACAAUGAAAACAAUGAAAACACUGAAAACAAUGAAAACACUGAAAACAACUGAUUGGUGUGUUUUAAAUAAUUGGGACAAGUGGUAUUUACAAGAUAAUAAUAAUAAUAAAAAAUAUUUCUGUUUGUAUCUUUUUUUAAACGAUAUUACAGUGUUUUAUAAAAAAAAAGACAUAAAAAUAAAAGAAAAAAUGAAUAACUAUAAUGUGAAUGAAAAAGAAAAUAGAGACAAUAGUGAGAAGAAGGAUGUGUUGAAUACAUCAAGGUUGUAUUUGCCAAAAAGGUGGCUCAUUGAUAAUGUUAAUGGACAAGAGUUACAAAUAAGGAACAAAAACAAAAAAAAUAUUCAAUCGUUUGUUCAAAGUAAUGUAAGAAAUGGAGAUUAUAUUGGUACAAGUGAGGAGAAACAUAAAAAAAGUAGAAACAAUGAAAUUGAAAAAAUUUAUGCUGAUAAUUAUUUAACCAACUAUGUGCACAAUAAUUAUACAAAUCGUUAUAAAAUGAAAAGUAUACAUAACGACAGUUUAAAUCACAAGGAUGGUUUCUCAUAUUCUGAUAAAAAUGAUAUAAUACAGAUAAAAAAUAUGUAUUCUCAUGACGUACAAAAUGGUUGUAAUACUAAAAAUAUUAAUGAACAAGGUCAUAAUAAUAACAAUAAUAAAGAAGACAUUGUAUAUGUGAAAUAUUUUUCUAAUAUGGAUGGUUUUAAAAAUUUAUCAUUAAGUGAUGUAUCAUGUUCAUCUUUUGGAAAAAAAACAUCACUGUAUAAAUACAAUGAGUAUAACCUUUUGAAUGAUGGACAUAGUGAUACCUACUUGGCUUAUCCUACAGGGUUGCACAGUCAUGCUGACCUAUACGAUCAUGCUGACCCAUACAAUCAUGCUGAUGCGAAACCUAUCCAACUUACUCACCAGAAUGAUCACUUGUCUAGCCAACGUAUACAUAACAACAUAUACAAAUACGAUGACAACAAAAAUGAAUUAAAAAAAAAAUUAUUAGAAAAAGAAACACAUGUCAAUGAAUCAGAUAUCAA
Molecule: long non-coding RNA, 1100 nt
Filed under: Piliocolobus tephrosceles (Ugandan red Colobus)
Lineage: Eukaryota; Metazoa; Chordata; Mammalia; Primates; Cercopithecidae
Description: lncRNA (ENSPTEG00000018950.1)
Source: RNAcentral